CCAUUCACAGUAUAAAGACCUAACCCUAAGCUCUGUCUUUCUCCCUCAUCUCUUUCUCCCUCCGCCGCCGCCCCCAUCCCCAAUCUCCUCCCUCCUCCGCCGCCCCAUCCCCAAUCUCCUCUCCCUGCCCCGUCGCCCCAUCCCGAAUCCCCUCCUCUCGCUCCUCCGCACCCUCUCCAUCUGGUGGUCGCUCCUUUCACCACCCCUUGCCCCACCUCCCGGCUGAGCCCUUUCUCUUCCCCGGCCUCUCCCGUACCUCCUCCGCUCACAUUCCUAGUGGCACCUCUGCGUCCUCUACCCUAUGCUCUACCUUUCCUGCUGACCAGCGAUGAUAACGGCGUCUUGGGUGCGCUGGAUCCGGCAUGGAUCUCAAUACCGACAGUAGCCUUGUUGGAGCAGAGCAGCUGUGCGAUGGCCGGUCUACCGCGACGACUCGCUGGAGGCGGCAGCGAACUCUAGUCGCCACUCACCACUUGUUACCGGCUCAACGCCUUCGACUGGAGGCAGAGCAAUACUGUCAACAAGGUAAGUACCAAGGCAGCUGCGGUGAGUGUGCACAGCGGCAGAUAUGCAUGGUGAGCUUAUCCCCUUCCACACCAACUUGUGAUUUUGUUCUUCCAUGGCCGAUGUGUCUAUGCAGACACUGGAUCUAAAUUUAGAACCUGCCACUUUUAUAUUCCUUGAUUUUUUGCACGGAUGGUUACCGCUAGCUUAACACAAAACGUUCUGAUGUUUCUCUGGUAACAUGCAUUGAAUUGAUGUACUGGUGGUUGGUUGAGUGUCCGUACGUGAUAGACCUGUGUUUGAGUAAUGAUCUAGACCACAAACUUAAGUUGCCGGAUAUAUCUGCAUAUACAGAAGCUAGCUUCUCAUGUAUGCAUGUUAAUGUCAACUAGCUGUGGUAUAUACUGGUGAUUUUACCUGAUUGUGCUAAAAUUUACAUCAUAGAGGUGUAUUUGAUUUAUUGUCAAUUGAUGGUGGUUGGUCAUCAUGCAAGCCACCCCUUCUCUGUUAUUUUGUACAAAUAUGUGAUUUUUCAUACAGACUUUUGUUCUUGCAAUCUAUCAUACAUGGGCUUCGUUAAUUAUAUAUGCCAUACAUGUUGAUCAACAUCAUUAGUGAACAAAUCAUUUUGCUCUAGAAACAAGGAACACAUUUGAGAGUUCUAUGUUCAGUUGUGUAUGAUUGUUUUUUGUUGUUGCGCUGUCUUUGGCUAUAAUUCAAUUCAUACUCAAAAUGAUGAGCUUAGAGCAUAUUUUAUCUUUCUCUUACUAAGAAAAUCAUUGUGUUUAUAAUUUAUAUGUUGAACAGUACUUGUGCUAUGCAUAUUUCAAUGGGUCAUGAAUUUAAAGUGAAUGUGAGUGUUGUGCAUAUGUGAUUUUUUUUCAUUUCAGCUGAGCGUGAAGUUUGUGAAAUUUGCUUCAGGGCCAUCCUGUCAAGUCCAUCAUUAAGAAAGGGAAGGUAAUGCGCCACCACCCGCUGUACCUUGUUCCUUCUUAGUUCUGUUUCAGUUAGUAAAUUAAGAUGCUUGGGGUGAAAUAGUUCUUUAAGGAUUAGUUUCAAUGUGGACUGUUCUAUAGUUCCAGUGCAAGAAUUAAUUUAGAUCGGUGGGAGUAACACUUUUUACUCUACAAAUAUUAUAUUAUACUGUUUUCAGGACUACAGAAAUUCUGUCAAGAACAUUAACUGAUAAGGUUUUACUGUAAUUAAUGUAGUUAUUGUCUGCUAAGAGAACCAGGAAAGAUAUGGGUAACUUGAUAUGGUACUUGACAGUCUACACAACAAUAUUUAUGUCAAAAAUAGAAGUCAGAACUGGAGAACAAAAUAAACUAAAAUACACAUGAUAGUACAAUCUGUACCUUAAAAUUCGCCAAAGAGGAGUUACGAAGGCCACAUGACUGUCUCCCACUGUCCCAAUAGCAAAUCAGGGUGGUUUUAAGCUUUUUUUAUGGAACAAAAGGCAUAGGACUUUUCUUUCAUUGAUUUCUUUUUUGCGUAUGAUCGACUAGAAAAAUAUAAAAUAAGUGUAUCAAACACUAAAAUAUAAAAUAAGUGUAUCAAACACUAAAAUAUAAAAUAAGUGUAUCAUCGGCAAGCAAGUGUUGUGUACUAUUGUCAGUGCUUUGAGAUGAACUAUAAACACUCAGUUUCAUGUGUCUGUGUGGUGGAUAUUGUUUCAUAGUCAUGCCAUUUUUUUGGCUGAUUUAUGUCCUCUACUGCUGCAGUACUUGGGAGUUCCGUGAUGUGUAUUUUGUUGCUUUGUCACUUAUAGGUCAACUUGAUUACAUUUUUAGUUCACACAGAUUUCUUUUGAUUAAUUUUAAGCAACCCAAUGUUUAUUCUUGUUUUAUAGUACAUACUUUGUUAUUCUCUUUUAUAGGCAUUGCAAGAUUUAAGAAUUUUUGACAUGUAAUUCAUUUUUUAUGUUUAUUCUAAGUCUCUUAUUUCUACAAUCUAUUCAUAUAUACAAAUAUGUACUGUUGUAACUAUGUGUAUGAUUAGGUCCCAUGCUACUUGUUGCCACUUGUUGUUUCUUUUCACAUGUUUAAUUAAAUUUGUUGCACUAUGCACCCUGGGAGUGAAAAAAUAUAGAAUGUAGUAACAUGUACUCCCUCCAUAAAUAAAUAUAAGAGCGUUUAGAUAACUAAAGUAGUAGUGAUCUAAACACUCUUAUAUUUCUUUACAGAGGGAGUACUAAGCUACUUCUAGUUUACCUACUUGCUCUAAUAUUUUAUGAAGUGACAAAAUUUUCAUCAUCUGGCAGCUAUUGAUUUAUGGGAGCAUUUUCAGCAACAAAGACGUGUGUUUUGACGACUUCGGUAUGGACGGGCGGAUCUGUGGCUAGAAAAGCGGAUUGAUGGGGGCGGUGUUGGCUGUAGAGUAGCAUAGUGUUCUCCAAAACAUGCUUGUAAACUUAAUGUUAUUUGGGUAUUUUCUUUUUGGUCCUGUAGUGGUGUAUUUUUGGUUGUGUUUGUGUAAUUUUCUUUUUUUAGUGACAUGAGCAUAUAUUUUUUGUAAAAUUCUUAUUGGCUUAAAGUUUCAAUGGAGGCAGAAAUUCUUAUUGGCUUAAAGUUUCAAUGGAGGGAGAGAAAUGAGAGAUGAGCUAAUUUUCUUGACUGAAAUUAAUGGGCCGUAGAUGAAAUUAAUGCACUUAUAUUCUAAUUGGGUUGAUUACUAUAUGGGCCACUACUCUUACAUCUAGCUGAAAUUUAGUGGGCCAAAAUUUAAAUGGGCUGAGCAUUACAUGAG
Molecule: long non-coding RNA, 3249 nt
Filed under: Triticum aestivum (bread wheat)
Lineage: Eukaryota; Viridiplantae; Streptophyta; Magnoliopsida; Poales; Poaceae
Description: long non-coding RNA (TAES_LNC000206)
Source: RNAcentral